AUGUCACCGAGGGGAGGACAGGACAGGCUGGCCCCGGAGCCUGCUGGCACCCCUGCGGGCUGUCGUGCGGCUUGCGUUGAAAACAUCCGUGACAGCCACGGGGCACAGGGCCUUUUUCCGGCCCUCCCGUGGCAGCGCAGGAGCAGGGCGAUGGCAAAGCCUCCUGCCUCUCCGCGCACCCCUCAGCGCACCCCGGGGCACGCACGGGGGCAGAGCAGCACCACCUUCAGCUGCACCCCCUGCCCCGCGGCCCUUCCUGCAGCCGGCUGGGCUCCCCGGGCCUGCCCGUCCUGGCCCCCCUGUGGGCAGGGUUGUGGCGGAGCACAGGGACGCUGUCCCCAGGCACAGCGCAGGCCUUGCGCUGGCGCUGUCCCCGGCCACGGGGCAGUGCAGGGAGGGACGGGCUGCGCCUGCCUGCUGCGGGGCACGGCUCGGCUCUGCCGGGGCGGCGUGGCGGCAGCUGCCAGCCUGUCCCUUGCUGACCCCGUCCCCUCCCCGCAGCAGGGACGUGGUGUUUCUCGCGGCUCCCGGCCUUCCUGUGGGUGCAGGCGCUCCCCGAGGCAGGUGCAGGGUAGGAGGAGGACGUGGGGCUGCCUCUGUCCUGUUCCCAUGCUCUGGUCGUUGAACCAGGGGGGUGCCAAAAUCACAGGUGGCCUGGCCCUCCGGGUGCAUGCUGCCCAUCAGGCUGCCCUGGGGGGGCCCAGCAGCCUCGCUCCCCCCGCAGCCCCCAGCUGGUGGCUGUGCUCAGCCAGCUGUGCCUCCCUCUGGCUCCAUCCCGCUGCCAGGGCUGGCUGCCACGCUCCAGCCCUCCCCUCCUGCCCUGCUCCCUGCACUGCAGCACCCGGGGGCACCCUGCAGCGCGAGGGGACGGCAGCUGGGGCCGGAGCGCUCUGUGCGCUGGGGGAAGCUGAGCCCAGAGCGCGGCCGUGCCCCCGCACCACUGCUGCUGCCAGCGUGCCUCCCGCCCUGGGGCCCCUGCGGGCAGCACCUGGCCAUGCCGGGGCUCCGGCUGCACGCCACGGGCCGAGCCCAAGCGCCUUCCGUGCUGGCAGGCAGGCGCGGGGCACGGAGCCACCCCAGCCACAUCCCCGCGGAAGCACCGCCGUCCCCCGCCUGUGCCCGAGCCAGCUCCUUGGAGCCUGUGGGUCUGCGCAGCCGCCUCGUCCCCCGGCACAGCGCGUGGGGCUGGAACCCCGGUCCCCCCUCACCGGGGGGGGGGGGAACGCAGCCCCCCGUCUGCAGCCCUAA
RNAcentral lists this long non-coding RNA (1248 nucleotides) under Anser brachyrhynchus (Pink-footed goose). RNAcentral describes it as "lncRNA (ENSABRG00000016618.1)". Lineage: Eukaryota; Metazoa; Chordata; Aves; Anseriformes; Anatidae. The record is from RNAcentral.